UCGCUUGUUUAGCCCCUCGGACUCUCUGGAAAAGACGCCUGCAUCCCCGCAGCUGGCAGGGCGGGCCCGAUCUAGCCCCAGCAUCUGUAGCGAUUUGGGACGGAAUGGGGGGCAGGCGUCUCCAGCUUUUAGAUACAUCCCACGAGCAACCUCACCCACUGAGGGCAACUCUUCCCCGCAACAGAAGCGUCAUGAGCUGUACCGUGAUAUCCGCUCACACAUCUGGCAGGAGCAUGGUCGGGCACAGAUCCAUGGGUGGAGCCAGCCACCUGCACUUCAGGGCCAUGAUCCACCUCUGGUUGGUGCUGACGUGCCUGUGCUUGUACAGUUACGGAUGUUGGACCAGAAGGA
Molecule: long non-coding RNA, 351 nt
Organism: Gekko japonicus
Lineage: Eukaryota; Metazoa; Chordata; Lepidosauria; Squamata; Gekkonidae
Exons: 3
Source: RefSeq, a predicted model, not a curated record